Long non-coding RNA from Oncorhynchus tshawytscha (Chinook salmon), 1262 nucleotides. NCBI's taxonomy places the organism in Eukaryota, Metazoa, Chordata, Actinopteri, Salmoniformes, Salmonidae. The record is from Ensembl.
UGAUGCAUUUUUUGGGAAGGGCAAAUCUGGUUUUAGAGUAUUUAAGCAUUGCAUAAAUUGCAAGAUUGCCCAUUUACAAUAGGACUCAACUCUGAUUGACCGCAACAUCUACAGUGGUACAAAUAUAUUAUUGAAUUCUUCAGGAAGGCAGUGAGUUGCUGCGCAACAGCCUUUUCUAAAAUUUUUGAGAGGAAUGGAAGAUUCGAUAUAGGCCGAUAGUUUUUUAUAUUUUCUGGGUCAAGGUUUGGCUUUUUCAAGAGAGGCUUUAUUACUGCCACUUUUAGUGAGUUUGGUACACAUCCGGUGGAUAGAGAGCCGUUUAUUAUGUUCAACAUAGGAGGGCCAAGCACAGGAAGCAGCUCUUUCAGUAGUUUAGUUGGAAUAGGGUCCAGUAUGCAGCUUGAAGGGUUAUAGGCCAUGAUUAUUUUCAUCAUUGUGUCAAGAGAUAUAGUACUAAAACACUUGAGCGUCUCUCUUGAUCCUAGGUCCUGGCAGAGUUGUGCAGACUCAGGACAACUGAGCUUUGAAGGAAUACGCAGAUUUAAAGAGGAGUCCAGGACCUGAGCCCUAGGACCAUGCCUCAGGACUACCUGACAUGAUGACUCCUUGCUGUCCCCACUCCACCUGGCCGUGCUGCUACUCCAGUUUCAACUGUUCUGCCUUAUUAUUAUUGGACCAUGCUGGUCAUUUAUGAACAUUUGAACAUCUUGGCCAUGUUCUGUUAUAAUCUCCACCUGGCACAGCCAGAAGAGGACUGGCCACCCCACAUAGCCUGGUUCCUCUCUAGGUUUCUUCCUAGGUGUUUGGCCUUUCUAGGGAGUUUUUCCUAGCCACUGUGCUUCUACACCUGCAUUGCUUGCUGUUUGGGGUUUUAGGCUGGGUUUCUGUACAGCACUUUGAGAUAUCAGCUGAUGUACGAAGGGCUAUAUAAAUACAUUUGAUUUUGAUUUUGAUUUGAUUAAAAAAACUGUUUUAAAAUGUUUAUGUUUAUUAAGUAAUCUUGCUUGUCUCAGAACAGUGCAAAAUGGUGCGGAAAUAGUUAGGGUUAGGGUUAGGCUUCAAAUCCUAUCAGUUUCAGUAAGGAACCAUUUGUUGCCUUCAUUAGCCUACUUUAUUCUUAAAGACAGAGCAGAGAAAAGAAAAGAGCCUUUAACAAUUAAACAAUAAAGUGAUUGAAUUCACAAAUGCAUUUGACUGUUUUUCAUAUUGGCCAUCAACCAAAACACACCGUGGUAGAAAUGUUAUUGAAUUCGAUAUAUUUU